CCUACGGGAGGCAGCAGUGAGGAAUAUUGGUCAAUGGACGAGAGUCUGAACCAGCCAAGUAGCGUGAAGGAUGACUGCCCUAUGGGUUGUAAACUUCUUUUAUAUGGGAAUAAAAUGUGCCACGUGUGGGAUUUUGUAUGUACCAUAUGAAUAAGGAUCGGCUAACUCCGUGCCAGCAGCCGCGGUAAUACGGAGGAUCCGAGCGUUAUCCGGAUUUAUUGGGUUUAAAGGGAGCGUAGGUGGAUUGUUAAGUCAGUUGUGAAAGUUUGCGGCUCAACCGUAAAAUUGCAGUUGAAACUGGAAGUCUUGAGUACAGUAGAGGUGAGCGGAAUUCGUGGUGUAGCGGUGAAAUGCUUAGAUAUCACGAAGAACUCCGAUUGCGAAGGCAGCUCACUGGACUGCAACUGACACUGAGGCUCGAAAGUGUGGGUAUCAAACAGGAUUAGAUACCCCUGUGGUC
RNAcentral lists this ribosomal RNA (460 nucleotides) under uncultured bacterium. RNAcentral describes it as "partial 16S ribosomal RNA". It matches the Rfam family "Bacterial small subunit ribosomal RNA", at positions 338 to 795 of the family's 1533-position model. The record is from RNAcentral.